GAGUGAAGCCACGGGCAGAGAAGUUGUGUGUUGCUAAUCAGCGUUGUUUGGUGGAUUUGUGUCUGUUUUAAACCAAACCACAUCUUUAUUCACCAGUGUGGAAUAAAGCAACAUUAUUUAUUUACCUCGUCUCAUGCAUUCUAAUCGAUGCACCACUGUGAUCAUCACCUUUAAACUGGCAAACUUAGUUGAAUACUUCUCAACAUUUAUUAUUUGCAUGAACUUCAAAAUAAUUGUUACCAUGAUUUCGUGUAAUCAUAUAAUAUGAUGUAGGAUAAUUGAUGAAACAUAAUCGACAGUCGUAUUUACUGUUUGUGGCAAGCUCUACAGACAUUUGUGCACACCUUCAGGGCAUCAACGACAACAGAACAAAAAAUAAGUAUUUCUGGAAAUACAACAAGAGAAAGCUAAACCUCCAAGGAAGCGCAGACGCUACUCGACACUCAGACAGUCUAACGCCACAACAUGGACAACACCAAGAAACUGCUGAUGGAUGCUCUUGAGCAGCUUGUGAGUGCAGAUUUUAAGCGUUUUAUGUGGCACCUGUGGAACGGCGUGGGGGAAGAUAUCGCCCCGGUUCCUUGAGCGUUGCUGGAGAACGCAGACCGGCAGGACGUGGUGGACUGUAUGGUUCAGAGAUACAGCAUUGAAGCUGGAAUUGUGGCGGUGCAAGUGCUGUGCAACAUCAACCAGAACACCCUGGCAAAGAGACUCAACCUUAAACUUCAGCAGGCAAAACAGUAAUGCAGAGAUUAGCAGAAGAGAUUGGUCUCUCUUUGAGUCUCUGCUAUAUAAAACUGAUCCGAUCCUGCAAGACGUUCAGUGGCGUAUGGAAGCGGCUGAUCCAUUCAUCUUCAGCAUCUCUAAAGAAAGACGUUAAAUCAUAAUAGUAAAUGGUUUAAUUAUCAGCUGCAGUGAUGUGUGUUUUUAAUUCUGCAUCUCUUUGCUUUUAUUAAAAUGGUUUGGCAGCUACUCUAAAUGGUUUAACCUCAAUAAAAAUGACAAUAAAAACAGCAAUGAUGAACUAAAAUAACAUCUAUCUUCAUUCAGCUAUU
Molecule: long non-coding RNA, 1055 nt
Organism: Danio aesculapii
Lineage: Eukaryota; Metazoa; Chordata; Actinopteri; Cypriniformes; Danionidae
Exons: 4
Source: RefSeq, a predicted model, not a curated record